RNAcentral lists this long non-coding RNA (690 nucleotides) under Mytilus galloprovincialis (Mediterranean mussel). Lineage: Eukaryota; Metazoa; Mollusca; Bivalvia; Mytilida; Mytilidae. The record is from RNAcentral.
AAAUACAGAUAGGGUAAUCUUUACCUGAGCUAGAAAAGCCUUAGUAUUCCAAAAAUGAUAAGUUUUGUUAACAGUUAAUUUAAAAUUAUGACCAUAUCAAUGAUAAUUCAUGACAACGCAGAGGUGCCUUUUUUAUUUUAAAUUUAUUUUCAUACUUUACAAUGAAUUAAAUGAGGAAUUGGAUAUACGUCACCAAGGCAGAAAUCCAAGGCAAAUAUAUUACCAAUGUUAUUUCAACGUUUUGCAUAAGGACAGUCUAUUUUUCAACGUUUUGCAUAAGGACAGUCUAUUUGAAGAUGUGUGUGAGAAGGAUGAUUGCCGUUAUACUUAUUAUUGAUUUCUAAUCACCUAUCAGUGUCAUGAAAGGAUUUUACAAAACAAUGACUGGACACGACGUUAUUGAUGAGUUUAUCCUAAAACACCUAUCUAUAGAUGGACUGGUUUAGUAUGAGCGAACGGGUUAAACUCCGCCCAGUCAAGUGAAACAAAUAGAUUUAUAGUAAUGUCAUACUUAUAAUUAUUUAAAUACCAAAAACGGUUUGUGUAGUCGAAUGCGACUUGUAAUAUGAGGAAACCUUUUGAAGAACUUGUGUAUCUAAUUUCCGCGCACUCGUUUAAUCCAUAGCGGCGUUCGGUCACAAGUUGUCUUAUUUUUGAUAUUCAAAACGGCGAUUAGGUUAUUCUUUUUAU